GACAAAACAAAAGAGAGAGAGAGUGAGAGCAAGGGGGUUCAGCCACCUUAGAGAAAGAGAGAAAAAAUUUUGCUCAUCAAUCUUUGAUCCAAAAAUCUAAAAUUUCUAGUAUUCCUACUAAGCUCAAGACCCUCUUCAACGUGGUACAAUUAUUUUAGCAAGAAAAUCACUUUGGUGGCAAGUGAAGAAUUUGAAGAAAAAGAUAUUGGAGAGCCCGAGACUUGAUUCGGAAUUUGAUUAGCGAGCGAUCGAGGUGCUGACGUUCGAUCAGGUGACCCGCCAGUAUAGGAUACUUAUUCUGCUGUUUGGAGUACUCCUUUUGAUUCGGAGCUCAUCUUUUUGGUACAUAUCUUCUGUUAUACAUGUUCUGUAUAUAUGGCUAUUUGGGUACGGCGGGGCCCUAUCCCGUCAUAUGUUUCUGUUAUGGUUUGUAGAGGCCUGUAGACAUAUAUGUGGGUCAUGGGUCAUGUUUGUUCGUUUAUGUUUAUGAUCUGCGCCUUAAUGCGGUCCCGUUUGCUAUUAUGGCCAAAACGGCCCAUAUGUUUGUAUAUGUAUGUAUAUCUGGGCGAUGUGUAUUCCGCUAGCCUACCGGAUUUGAUAUGAUGUUUCUGUACGGGCGACCGCUUAAGACGAUAUUUGUUUUCAGUAUCUGUUUAAAAUAACGUAUGUUAAGUUUGAAUAAAUCUUUGAUAUGUCGAUCUGGUACGUAAGUCUAUUUGGGUGUCCAAAUAGGGCACCCGUCGCGGCCCACGAGGCUGGGUCGUGACAGAUAUACUUGGAGUAAGUGAUGCUCCUCAGACGCCUGAGCUAUUUGCGACGAGCAGCUCAGGAAGAUAUUAAGGCUUUUAUCAUUUACUACCUGAAUUGACUCCACUUUUACCUUUGAAAUCUGCAAUGCAGGUACCAAACGUCAAACAAUCUUAUGGUGGCACAAACUUUUCUAGUUUUGUUUGAAAACUUCAAAUAGUCAUUUUCUGUUUAGGCUACUAGAUAAGAAUUAUUAUGUCUCCUGCAACAUACCUGGAGUUAGUUUCAGCUUUAGAAAAAGAGUGCUAAGUGUUCUAAUUGAACUUUGUCAUUUAUAGCAUUGAAGUAAUAUUCUUUUGUUUGGUCCUCCUUGUACAAGAAGAAUGAUUGCUGAGGCUGGGGUCACUGGAGCUCUGGUAAAUUUCAUCAAUAUCUCAGGGUGUGUUUGGUAUGAAGGAAAAUGUUUCUUAGAAAACGAAUGGGUUUCUUACUUUUUUUUCCAGUGGUAAGUAAAGAAAUAUUAUUCCAAGAACAUUAUAUGUAAUCUAGCAAAAUACUAUGUGGGAUGGCGUGGGGAGUGGAGUUCAGCCGUACGGGGGUGGGAUGGUCAAGGAUUAGGGGUUGGGGAUGUUGGCUGGGUGGGGAGGAGAAAAUGAACUUGAAAUGCCACUUUUGCAACUUAUUUUCCCUAUUUCCAAAAGGAAAGUCAUUUUUAAGGAACUUGUUUUCCUAGAGAACGUUUUUCAAAAUAUUUUGACCAACCAAAAAUGAAAUAAAUUAUCUUGAAAAUGUUUUCCUCCAUACCAGACACACCCUUAAUGUCCUGUAUUUUUCAAGGUCAUUUUGCACAAUAGAAAGAACUUAUCAGCAGCUUGUUUUUUGGAUGGUUAAAUCGGAGCCCUUUUGUUUAUUGGCAAUGUGAGUUUCUUAAAGUGUUUAUAUUGGUAAUGUGAAAGUUCUUACUGCGCUCGCUGGUCUAUUGACUCCGCAAAAUGAGUUCUCACAGUGUCCCUUAUGGGUCAUCUUCUUCUUGUCUGCCGCAGAAUCUACGUGUGAAUGAACAUAUUGUCCUGUGGGAGAGUUGUUAGAGAAGGACAAGAAGGUACUUGUGCUCUGCUAGCUGACAUAGCCAAAAACAUGCCUCUAUGUAGUAUACACUCCUAUUAAAUAGUACUUAAAAUAUAUUAUAAAACCAAUGAAAGGACUAUCACUUUGUGCUUAGCACUCUCAUUGCAGCGGCCGAACCAGGAAUUCUGACAAGGAGAUUCGAAAAAAUGCAUGAAUGUAUCAUCUAGGAUUUGAAAUUGUAACCUAAAGCGAUCUUUAACCACCUUUGACACUACGCUAAAAGCUUUUGUUAAAGGAGGAUUUAACAAUCUAUCUAUAUACAAAACCUUUUUGCUUUCAUUGCCCCUGCUCUGUUGCCUGUUGGUACGUUUCUGUGGUUAGCAGGUUACUGCAAGUGCGAUAACUCAAUAGCGGAACGUUGAAUUUGUGCAGUAGAAUCAACUCUAUGAUGAAAAGUUUCUACAGAGAAUAUAUCCUUGAGCAAAGCAAUUAUAUCUAGGAGUAUGAAUUAUGAACUGUUUAUUUUACCAAAAUGGU
Long non-coding RNA from Lycium barbarum (goji berry), 2352 nucleotides. RefSeq lists it as uncharacterized. NCBI's taxonomy places the organism in Eukaryota, Viridiplantae, Streptophyta, Magnoliopsida, Solanales, Solanaceae. The record is from RefSeq and is a predicted model, not a curated record. The transcript is spliced from 3 exons.